RNAcentral lists this non-coding RNA (30 nucleotides) under Rattus norvegicus (Norway rat). The record is from RNAcentral. Lineage: Eukaryota; Metazoa; Chordata; Mammalia; Rodentia; Muridae.
UGAAAAGCAGGAAGUUUAGACUAAACGUGU